Molecule: long non-coding RNA, 1246 nt
Filed under: Oncorhynchus mykiss (rainbow trout)
Lineage: Eukaryota; Metazoa; Chordata; Actinopteri; Salmoniformes; Salmonidae
Description: lncRNA (ENSOMYG00000076481.1)
Source: RNAcentral
CCGACAAUAAACAUGUUUACCUUUUGUUGUUCGCCAUUAUUUUUUUUUAUUGCGCAAGUGCAUGUUAAUUGGUGAUUUGAUUAGGGUUUUAAUAUUGGAGCUGUGCUCAAUGAAGGCAGGCAGGCUCAGGCUGGCCACUACAGAGAGGAGAGUGUACAUCCGAGUGGGCAGCUAUAGGAGAAACUAUCAGCAAAACCACAUCAAGGACAGGAAACAGUCUGCAUUCAAGGGAGGAAAAUACUGUAUGCAAAUGAAAAGUCAAGUGCAAAAAAAAUGUCAGACUCUUUAGAUUAUGUUGUGUUGUUGUUCUGUUUUUUUUUUCCAAUUCUGUUCUUAUCUAUAUUCUAUUCUUCUUUCCAUCCAGUUUGUGACUUAUGCAGGCAAGCUACUGUAGAGCCAGGUGGCUGAGGUCUCGGCAGGGAGUCAGUGCAAGCUGAGAGGGGUAGUAACAUCACCGUCAACAUCACUAGGUCCUGCUGAAGAGAGAUUGAAAAUAACAUCAGGUACAGGACCAGGGGGGAGAACAGCGGGGGAGACAAGUGUUUCCUUGUGCUGUUAGUUGUAUUAGUAUUUGCUAUCAAGCACACAGUCCACAAUUAAAAUAGCAUUAAGCCCAACUUAGUUGGUGUGUCUGCCAAUUGUCCCCUCACCGUGCCUGGCCACAGAGAGGGUCCCGAGGCCCCUGACUGGCUGGACUGUGACAGGAACAUAGACACCGCCUGAAUAAUGAACCAUUCAGAACCUCUCUCUCUCCACCCGCCACUCCUCCAUCCAGCCCUGCCUCAUCCCCAGACGCCUGCCUGCCUCCAGCCCCUAGCAGCUCCAGGCUCCCGGCCCCCAUGGAGCUUGGCACUGAUGCCCAGCGCAAAAACAGAUGGUGCCAAUCCUGACCCCUCUCGUCACCGAUGGACAGGAACAGGAAGAGGAGGAGGCACUGUUGCCACGGCAACUCCUGGCCACACAUCCUCUCCAAGGGCCUCAGGUAUCCAUCAGGCUGCAUUUGGUCCCUGAGCUCUGAGGGUUCAGUGACAGGACAUCCUCUCAGAGUGCAGUGGACUACCUGAUGGACCCUGUGAUCUACCAAGAGGACCUGUAAUCAAGUGAGAAGGAACUGUGAUCCGGUGAGGUGUCCAGUGAUCCAUCUACUGAGAUCCACUCAAGAUUUCCAGAGCGAAAGAACGGUGUUCCACUGAGAGUUCCAGUGAUCCAGCUUGUGUCCUGGUAGAGUUCUCUGGUGAGCGUGUCU